RNAcentral lists this ribosomal RNA (253 nucleotides) under uncultured bacterium. Its description in RNAcentral is "partial 16S ribosomal RNA". It matches the Rfam family "Bacterial small subunit ribosomal RNA", at positions 524 to 776 of the family's 1533-position model. The record is from RNAcentral.
UACGGAGGGUGCAAGCGUUGCUCGGAAUCACUGGGCGUAAAGCGACCGCAGGCGGCCUGACAAGUCAGGGGUGAAAUCCUGGAGCUCAACUCCAGAACUGCCUUUGAUACUGAAGAUCUUGAGUUCGGGAGAGGUGAGUGGAACUGCGAGUGUAGAGGUGAAAUUCGUAGAUAUUCGCAAGAACACCAGUGGCGAAGGCGGCUCACUGGCCCGAUACUGACGCUGAGGCACGAAAGCGUGGGGAGCAAACAGG